RNAcentral lists this ribosomal RNA (253 nucleotides) under uncultured bacterium. RNAcentral's name for it is "partial 16S ribosomal RNA". It matches the Rfam family "Bacterial small subunit ribosomal RNA", at positions 524 to 776 of the family's 1533-position model. The record is from RNAcentral.
GACAGAGGGUGCAAGCGUUGUUCGGAAUCAUUGGGCGUAAAGGGCGCGUAGGCGGUUUGGUAAGUCAGAUGUGAAAGCCCCGGGCUUAACCUGGGAACUGCCUUUGAUACUGAAGAUCUUGAGUCCGGGAGAGGUGAGUGGAACUGCGAGUGUAGAGGUGAAAUUCGUAGAUAUUCGCAAGAACACCAGUGGCGAAGGCGGCUCACUGGCCCGGUACUGACGCUGAGGCACGAAAGCGUGGGGAGCAAACAGG